RNAcentral lists this ribosomal RNA (468 nucleotides) under uncultured bacterium. RNAcentral's name for it is "partial 16S ribosomal RNA". It matches the Rfam family "Bacterial small subunit ribosomal RNA", at positions 28 to 507 of the family's 1533-position model. The record is from RNAcentral.
GACGAACGCUGGCGGCGUGCUUAACACAUGCCAGUCGAACGGAAAGGCCCUGCUUUUGUGGGGUGCUCGAGUGGCGAACGGGUGAGUAACACGUGAGUAACCUGCCCUUGACUUUGGGAUAACUUCAGGAAACUGGGGCUAAUACCGGAUAGGAGCUCCUGCUGCAUGGUGGGGGUUGGAAAGUUUCGGCGGUUGGGGAUGGACUCGCGGCUUAUCAGCUUGUUGGUGGGGUAGUGGCUUACCAAGGCUUUGACGGGUAGCCGGCCUGAGAGGGUGACCGGCGACAUUGGGACUGCGAUACGGACCAGACUCCUACGGGAGGCAGCAGUGGGGAAUAUUGCACAAUGGGCGGAAGCCUGAUGCAGCAACGCCGCGUGCGGGAUGACGGCCUUCGGGUUGUAAACCGCUUUCGCCUGUGACGAAGCGUGAGUGACGGUAAUGGGUAAAGAAGCACCGGCUAACUACGUG